Molecule: ribosomal RNA, 459 nt
Filed under: uncultured bacterium
Lineage: Bacteria
Description: bacterial SSU rRNA
Rfam family: Bacterial small subunit ribosomal RNA
Source: RNAcentral
UGCGAACUCCUACGGGAGGCAGCAGUGGGGAAUAUUGCACAAUGGGCGCAAGCCUGAUGCAGCGGCGCCGCGUGAGGGAUGACGGCCUUCGGGUUGUAAACCUCUUUCAGCAGGGAAGAAGCGCAAGUGACGGUACCUGCAGAAGAAGCGCCGGCUAACUACGUGCCGGCAGCCGCGGUAAUACGUAGGGCGCAAGCGUUGUCCGGAAUUAUUGGGCGUAAAGAGCUCGUAGGCGGUUUGUCGCGUCUGCUGUGAAAACGCGAGGCUCAACCUCGCGCCUGCAGUGGGUACGGGCAGACUAGAGUGCGGUAGGGGAGACUGGAAUUCCUGGUGUAGCGGUGGAAUGCGCAGAUAUCAGGAGGAACACCGGUGGCGAAGGCGGGUCUCUGGGCCGUAACUGACGCUGAGGAGCGAAAGCAUGGGGAGCGAACAGGAUUAGAAACCCCGGUAGUCCAGAUG